UAACGUACUUUCCAUAAACGUUUUUGUCGUUCCUCUAAUUCACGGCAGAAGCAUUUCAAAUCAUGCAUAGCAAGGCAACAAGCUGGCAACACAUGGCAACAAGCUGGUGACAGGAACGUAUUUCAUAACAACGAGAGCAUGGACGGCAUGGAUGAUGACUCAGGGCAGCUCCUCUGUUCCAGCCCCUCACUCUAAAAGAAGCUCACCUUCACAAGAGACAGCGUGCCUGUUCCACUAGUUUUGUCCUCAGCACCAUAAGAGAAAUUAGCCUCCCCCUUCAACUGACUCAGUUCUUAGCUGGAACUCAAGUCAACAAUGCACCUUUACAGAGUAUCCUGGAACUUGCAGGACUGCACCCUGGGGGUUAGUAUUACUGCUGAAAAGUCACCUUUGAACACUUAUUACUCUAUUACUUCUGUAUCUCUGAAUUUUUCCACAUCAAGCAUGACUGCAGACACAAUUUUUAUUUCUUAUUUUUUAAUUGUUUCUUUUUUUUUCCUAAAAAAAUAAUACUGGUCUGUUAUACAUAAUAAAACACCUUAAGUACAAACAUAAACAGGUGUGAACAGUCUUUUUCGUGAUGCUGCUCACCCUUGUGGUCAGCAUAGCUUCUGCAAAGCAUCAUCUAGCAGAGACCUCCUGCUCAGUCAGGUCUACAGGUUCAAAGGCCUUCCCAGGCGUCCUAAUUUAACUGGAGAUGAAAACACAGAGAAUGCCUCCCGUCGCAUAAAUAUGAUGCGGCUCUUGCUGUGCAGAGAGACGAGGUGUCGAGGAACGCCGGAUGUGGACGGGGGAUAAACCGAGGUCAUGAACCCUAGGGGCGGGGAGGCUGCGGAGGCUGCUGGCUUCGUUGGAGGGGCUGGCUGCUGACUUCAGUGGCCUUCGGCUCCUCUUCCUCUUUGUCAUCCUCGUCUUCCUCACUCUGUCCAGCGGUGGCCGCAGUGAGGGGCGGUGCACACGUAAUAGAGGCGCAUGGCGUCCUGUGGUGCAGGCACACGGCAGUUACUUUCGGUACAGAGAAAAAAACGUUUCCCCUUUUCAGCACCUGCUCUCUGAGUGACAGGUGUGAUGCAGUUCCCUCCUAUAUCAUUCACACAAGACUACCAAAAAAAAGGCUACAUGGCAUAAACGAUACAGGUAAUGUGCUGAAAGAUCCAUUUGUGGAUAAAUAAAAUUUGAGCUUCCUGGCAAAGUGAACCAGGUUUUUGGCUAAAAUGCCGAAGUCUUUUCUGACCUGUACAAGCGCCCAAGGACCAGUAGAUGCACUUGCAUCCUCCAUCAGGCAGGUUUACCACCGUUCCAGUGGUUUUAAAUGCCUUGAUUAUUGACCUAAUAACUGGAAGUACUAGCUUUACUUUUUAAUUUGCUUGGAAACAUCUCAUGACCUGUGAAGGUCAACAACCCUUGUCUUGUUUAUUCUGAGUUUGUUCCCUUUUCCCCAUGGUGAUGGACGGCACGUGGACUUUACAUUUUUAUAUCCCAGGGAAACAGGAAGCUGUGCAAGGCCACAAUGUAGUUGCCUAAGAUUGAAAAUAACUGAAAUAAAUGUAGCAUUUUAAUGGAGACUUAUUCUUGUAGGAUUUUAUUUUAAAUAAUUAUUAGGUAUGUGAAAAAAUCACAUUUUCACCUAAUUCCCUUUUUUGAGCACACACUUAUAACCUGUCUAUUUUAUACUGUCGCCUUCUGUCAACUUUCAAUAUUGUAUUUUUUAGACCCUACAUAGAAGAAAACUGCUGAAAUAAUAUAUAAUGAAUAGUAUAAAUAAUUAUAUAGUGCCUAAUCAAUCUCUUCUCUGUUUCCUUCCUGGGGCCAACUGCCCCUUUCCCCGCCCUGAGUUUGCGAAGCCCUCCAGCCUGGUCUCUCUCCUGGUUAAAGCCCACGCCAUGAAGCAACCUGGAGGCAUAGAUGCAUUACCCCACCCCUCUGAGUUACAUAUUACCAUGAACCUCUCUGUCUGGGCUGCCCAUUUUACCAGCUAGUUUAAAUAUCUGAGUAACCUGCCCAACCCAUUUUAUCAUUUGCUCUGAAAGAUAACCUCAUUACAUUUCUGUAAUUAAACAUUCUAUCUUCGCUAUUACACUUGGCCAGCCAGUGGAGGAUGGGCUCUCCAUCUAUAGCCAGGUUCCUCCCAAGAUUUCUUCCCACUGGGAAUUUUUUAUUCUUCUUUCCUUGCCAUCAUUUGAGUGUUUUCCUUCCCACUGGGGAGUUUAUUGCUCACUUUUUGGGGGUUCAGGCCUGUUUUUUUUGCCCAGUUUUCUUUUGUAUUUCCACUGUAAAGCAUCUAUGUGACAGUGUCUCUGUACAAAUAAAAAAAACGCUAUACAAAUAAAAUUGAAUUGAAAUGAA
Molecule: long non-coding RNA, 2346 nt
Organism: Anguilla rostrata (American eel)
Lineage: Eukaryota; Metazoa; Chordata; Actinopteri; Anguilliformes; Anguillidae
Exons: 2
Source: RefSeq, a predicted model, not a curated record